CUCUGAGUGGGCAGGGACAACAAAGCAGAAGAAAACGUGUUCUCUCCCCUUCUCACCUUAUGUAUCCAUUGGGCAGAUGCAGGGAGAAAGCGGCAGGAAAGGAUCAUGGAAGUUUAACGCUGAUGUCAUUCAGGAAGGAGGAAGGACUCCAAGACACCCUGAGUCACACUCCUCCUCCUCCUCUAGCAGCUGAACUCCUGGCCUUGAAGGCAAGAACUCCACUUGGCCGUGAUGGUUUCCCGGACACAGAUGCUUAUGAGCAAGGCCCCACCCACACCAGGAGGAAGAAGCAAAAAAAAGAAACUGGCGAAGAAAGUAAGGCAGAAGAACAUGAAGCCCUUAACAACACUCCAAACUCUGUUUAAAGAUAGAGACAAAUGGGAUUUAAAUGGAGCCCAACAAGCAAAUUCAGAAACAAGUUGAAACCGGGAACCCGGCUCAAGGUUCAUUUGUGGCAUCAGUGAUCCUGUGGUCCUCCCUGGGGCGUCAGCCAGUGGGAGUGGCAGUGCCAGCUCUGCCACCCAAAGUCCUAGGGUUUUGGAGAUGUCACUUUGCUCGUUGGUAAAACGAGGAAAUGCUUGUCUGGUGGGGCUGGCGUGCAAGGCAAAGGCGAUGUCUGAGAGAGCUCUGAAAAGAGCAAAACGCUACAGGUCUGGGUUUACUCUGAUGCUAUGUGAGAACUUACUUUGCAGGACUGACAUUUCUUUGGAUGUCCAAGUCUUUAUUGCUGUUAUGGGUGUGGUCUAUUUAAAAAAAUCCCAGAAUAGGGAAAACCUGUGAAGAUAGUGGCUCAGUGGCUGUCUAGC
This 806-nucleotide long non-coding RNA is filed under the name Fukomys damarensis (Damara mole-rat). Its description in RNAcentral is "lncRNA (ENSFDAG00000033269.1)". Lineage: Eukaryota; Metazoa; Chordata; Mammalia; Rodentia; Bathyergidae. The record is from RNAcentral.